UGGGGUAACCUUUUUGGAGCCAGCCGCCUAAGGUGGGACAGAUGAUUGGGGUGAAGUCGUAACAAGGUAGCCGUAUCGGAAGGUGCGGCUGGAUCACCUCCUUUCUAUGGAGA
This 113-nucleotide ribosomal RNA is filed under the name Bacillus cereus. RNAcentral describes it as "partial 16S ribosomal RNA". It matches the Rfam family "Bacterial small subunit ribosomal RNA", at positions 1431 to 1533 of the family's 1533-position model. Lineage: Bacteria; Bacillati; Bacillota; Bacilli; Caryophanales; Bacillaceae. The record is from RNAcentral.